GAUGAACGCUGGCGGUCUGCUUAACACAUGCAAGUCGAACGGAAUCCUUCGGGAUUUAGUGGCGGACGGGUGAGUAACGCGUGAGCAUCUGCCUUCAGGUUCGGGACAACAGCUGGAAACGGCUGCUAAUACCGGAUGUGCCGAGAGGUGAAAGCUUUAGUGCCUGAAGAUGAGCUCGCGGCUGAUUAGCUAGUAGGAGUGGUAAUGGCACCCCUAGGAGACGAUCAGUAGCUGGUCUGAGAGGAUGAUCAGCCACACUGGGACUGAGACACGGACCAGACUCCUACGGGAGGCAGCAGUGGGGAAUUUUCCGCAAUGGGCGCAAGCCUGACGGAGCAAGACCGCGUGAGGGAAGAAGGUCUGUGGAUUGUAAACCUCUUUUGAUGGGGAAGAAGACAGUGACGGUACCCAUCGAAUCAGCCUCGGCUAACUCCGUGCCAGCAGCCGCAGUAA
RNAcentral lists this ribosomal RNA (453 nucleotides) under uncultured bacterium. Its description in RNAcentral is "partial 16S ribosomal RNA". It matches the Rfam family "Bacterial small subunit ribosomal RNA", at positions 28 to 523 of the family's 1533-position model. The record is from RNAcentral.